GCCUGAGUGGCUCAGUUGGUUAAGCGUCUGACUUCAGCUCAGGUCAUGAUCUCACCGGUUUGUGGGUUUGAGCCCCGCAUCGGGCU
This 86-nucleotide transfer RNA is filed under the name Felis catus (domestic cat). It matches the Rfam family "tRNA". Rfam says of the family: Transfer RNA (tRNA) molecules are approximately 80 nucleotides in length. Their secondary structure includes four short double-helical elements and three loops (D, anti-codon, and T loops). The record is from Rfam by way of RNAcentral. Lineage: Eukaryota; Metazoa; Chordata; Mammalia; Carnivora; Felidae.